RNAcentral lists this ribosomal RNA (1944 nucleotides) under marine metagenome. RNAcentral's name for it is "bacterial LSU rRNA". It matches the Rfam family "Bacterial large subunit ribosomal RNA", at positions 1 to 2023 of the family's 2925-position model. The record is from RNAcentral.
UUAAGGAACAAAGGGCGCACAGUGGAUGCCUUGGCACUAAGAGCCGAUGAAGGACGCAACUAACGGCGAAACGCCACGGGGAGCAGUAAGUACGCGACGAUCCGUGGGAAUCCGAAUGGGGAAACCCAGCACAUGGAAGAUGUGUUAUCCAGUAAUGGAGGGAAAACGCAGGGAACUGAAAUAUCUAAGUACCUGCAGGAAAAGAAAGUAACAACGAUUCUGCUAGUAGCGACGAGCGAACGCGGAGGAGCCUAACACCAGAAUAGUUACAAAACUCUAGAUUAGAAGAAUGGCGUGGGAAAGCCAACCAUAGAAGGUGAGAGUCCUGUAUUCGAAAAUGUAGAGACUAGGGUGUUGAAAAGUACGGCGAGACACGAGAAAUCUUGUCGGAAGAUGCGAGGACCAUCUCGUAAGGCUAAAUACUACUUAGUGACCGAUAGUGAACCAGUACCGUGAGGGAAAGGUGAAAAGAACCCCGGGAGGGGAGUGAAAUAGAACCUGAAACUGUGUGCUUACAAUUAGUCAGAGCCCGUUAAUGGGUGAUGGCAUGCCUUUUGUAGAAUGAACCGGCGAGUUACGGUAUCUGGCAAGGUUAAGCUUUAAGGAGCGGAGCCGAAGCGAAAGCGAGUCUGAAUAGGGCGUUAAGUUAGAUGCUGUAGACCCGAAACUUGGUGAGCUAGCCAUGAGCAGGUUGAAGUUUGGGUAAGACCAAAUGGAGGACCGAACCAGGACACGUUAAAAAGUGUUUGGAUGACUUGUGGCUAGGGGUGAAAUUCCAAUCGAACCAAGAGAUAGCUGGUUCUCCCCGAAAUAGCUUUAGGGCUAGCGUUAACGUAUGAGUUUUAUGAAGGUAGAGCACUGAAUGUGUGAUGGCCCCACCUCGGGGUACUGAGCCCAAUCAAACUCCGAAUGUCAUAAAAUAUAGUUAGCAGUCAGACUGUGGGUGAUAAGGUUCAUGGUCAAAAGGGAAACAGCCCAGACCGCCAGAUAAGGUCCCAAAAUUAAUGCUAAGUGGAAAAGGAAGUGAAGAUGCACAGACAACUAGUAGGUUGGCUUAGAAGCAGCCAUCCUUUAAAGAGUGCGUAAAAGCUCACUAGUCGAGUGACUCUGCGCCGAAAAUGUACCGGGGCUAAGCAUUAUACCGAAUCUGCGGAUUGACAAUUUAUUGUCAGUGGUAGGGGAGCGUUCUAAGGGCGGUGAAGGUAGACCGGGAGGACUACUGGAGCGCUUAGAAGUGAGAAUGCCGGUGUAAGUAACGAAAAGAUAGGUGAGAAUCCUAUCCGUCGAAAACCCAAGGUUUCCAGGGGAAGGUUCGUCCGCCCUGGGUAAGUCGGGGCCUAAGGUGAGGCCGAGAGGCGUAGCCGAUGGAUAGCAGGUAGAGAUUCCUGCACUAGUUAGUAAACUGAUGGAGUGACAAAGCAGGCUAACAUCCGCCCCUUAGUGGAUUGGGGACAAGGGAUCAAGUCUUGUGCGUAGGCAAAUCCGCGCACUUUAAGGACAAGAUCCGGUAGGUAAAGGAUGAUGAUGUCAAACUUUCAAGAAAAGCUUCUAGGGUUAAUUUACUAACUACCCGUACCGUAAACCGACACAGGUGGGUAGGUAGAGUAUACUAAGACGCGCGAGAAAACCCUUGUUAAGGAACUCGGCAAAAUGACUCCGUAACUUCGGGAUAAGGAGGACUUUUAAUGAAAAAGAAAAGUCGCAGAGAAUAGGCCCAAGCGACUGUUUAUCAAAAACACAGGUCUCUGCAAAACCGUAAGGUGAAGUAUAGGGGCUGACACCUGCCCGGUGCUGGAAGAUUAAGAGGAGAUGUUAGGCAACGAAGCAUUGAAUUGAAGUCCCAGUAAACGGCGGCCGUAACUAUAACGGUCCUAAGGUAGCGAAAUUCCUUGUCAGGUAAGUUCUGACCCGCACGAAAGGUGUAACGAUUUGGGCACUGUCUCA